GACCUGGUAGUCCACGCUGUAAACGAUGUCGACUUGGAGGUUGUGCCCUUGAGGCGUGGCUUCCGGAGCUAACGCGUUAAGUCGACCGCCUGGGGAGUACGGCCGCAAGGUUAAAACUCAAAUGAAUUGACGGGGGCCCGCACAAGCGGUGGAGCAUGUGGUUUAAUUCGAUGCAACGCGAAGAACCUUACCUACUCUUGACAUCCACGGAAUUCGCCAGAGAUGGCUUAGUGCCUUCGGGAACCGUGAGACAGGUGCUGCAUGGCUGUCGUCAGCUCGUGUUGUGAAAUGUUGGGUUAAGUCCCGCAACGAGCGCAACCCUUAUCCUUUGUUGCCAGCACGUAAUGGUGGGAACUCAAAGGAGACUGCCGGUGAUAAACCGGAGGAAGGUGGGGAUGACGUCAAGUCAUCAUGGCCCUUACGAGUAGGGCUACACACGUGCUACAAUGGCAUAUACAAAGAGAAGCGAACUCGCGAGAGCAAGCGGACCUCAUAAAGUAUGUCGUAGUCCGGAUUGGAGUCUGCAACUCGACUCCAUGAAGUCGGAAUCGCUAGUAAUCGUAGAUCAGAAUGCUACGGUGAAUACGUUCCCGGGCCUUGUACACACCGCCCGUCACACCAUGGGAGUGGGUUGCAAAAGAAGUAGGUAGCUUAAC
Molecule: ribosomal RNA, 656 nt
Filed under: bacterium sp. R2A-56
Lineage: Bacteria
Also listed under: 8 other names
Description: bacterial SSU rRNA
Rfam family: Bacterial small subunit ribosomal RNA
Source: RNAcentral